RNAcentral lists this ribosomal RNA (535 nucleotides) under Acalles vorsti. Its description in RNAcentral is "partial 16S ribosomal RNA". It matches the Rfam family "Bacterial large subunit ribosomal RNA", at positions 1860 to 2625 of the family's 2925-position model. The record is from RNAcentral. Lineage: Eukaryota; Metazoa; Arthropoda; Insecta; Coleoptera; Curculionidae.
GGCCUUUUGAGUAUAAUUUAAGGUCGGGCCUGCCCAAUGAUUAAUUAAAUGGCCGCGGUAUACUGACCGUGCAAAGGUAGCAUAAUCAUUAGUUUUUUAAUUGAAAGCUUGUAUGAAGGGUUUAAUGAGAAAAACACUGUCUCUGUUUAAAUUUAUUAGAAUUUUAUUUUUAAGUUAAAAAGCUUAAAUUUCUAUUGAAGACGAGAAGACCCUAUAGAGUUUAAUAUUUUACUUAAAAAUUAACUAUUAGGAAUUUAGAAUAUUUGUUAUUUAAAGUAUUUAAUUGGGGAGAUUGAAAAAUUGGUUUAACUUUUUUUGUAUUUUUACAUUAAUUAAUGAAUUUAAGAUCCUUUGUUUGAGAUUAAAAGAUACAAUUACCUUAGGGAUAACAGCGUAAUUUUUCUUAGAGUUCUUAUCGAAAGGAAAGAUUGCGACCUCGAUGUUGGAUUAAAAUUAAUUAUUGGUGUAGAAGCUAAUAAAUUAGGUCUGUUCGACCUUUAAAUUUUUACAUGAUCUGAGUUUAAACCGGCGUAAG